UACGGAGGAUGCAAGCGUUAUCCGGAUUUAUUGGGUUUAAAGGGUGCGCAGGUUGUUUGAUAAGUCAGUGGUGAAAGUCUGUCGCUUAACGGUAGGAUUGCCAUUGAUACUGUUGGACUUGAAUAUGGAUGAGGUAGGCGGAAUGCGUCGUGUAGCGGUGAAAUGCUUAGAUAUGACGCAGAACUCCGAUUGCGAAGGCAGCUUACUGGGAUGCAACUGACGCUGAGGCACGAAAGCGUGGGUAUCAAACA
Molecule: ribosomal RNA, 251 nt
Filed under: uncultured prokaryote
Description: partial 16S ribosomal RNA
Rfam family: Bacterial small subunit ribosomal RNA
Source: RNAcentral